GUAGGUGAACCUGCGGAAGGAUCAUUAACACGUAUCCUUACGUUUAACCACCCGUGCACCUUCAUUGGAGACUUGCAACCCCCCGCCGGGGGCAAGUAUCCCAAACCGCGUUCACCUGUGGCGAAAUGACGACGAACGGUAAAACGUUGAAGAAUCGUCAGAAGCGGCAAGUCUAAAUAAGGAGAUUCGGAUUGCAGUGGGGAGUUGAAGCCCUUGGAAAUGGCCCUGGAAUCGCAAAUUGAGGCGAAUUGCCAGAUGCGCUUUUCGGGGGGUUGGCACCUUUCCUGCUUUCCUGGAGUUUUCUUUCUUGCCGCGCGUUGCGGGUUGCGCAAGUGGUUUUGACCUGACCGCUGGAAAAAUUGACACCAUGACUAACCAACCACGCUCCUACCCCCAACGGGGUCCGGAGUAGGUAACCCCGAACAACUGUUAACAAUGGAUAUCUUGGCUCUC
This 453-nucleotide unclassified non-coding RNA is filed under the name rhizosphere metagenome. Its description in RNAcentral is "partial ribosomal RNA internal transcribed spacer region". The record is from RNAcentral.